Non-coding RNA from Trichonephila inaurata madagascariensis, 71 nucleotides. Lineage: Eukaryota; Metazoa; Arthropoda; Arachnida; Araneae; Nephilidae. The record is from the annotation of a GenBank genome assembly.
UGACAAAGUAUGGUGGUUAUGACAUUCGGCUUGUAACCGAGUGGGCUCGGGUUCGAAUCCUGAAGGCAAAG